UAGGGAAUCUUCGGCAAUGGGGGGAACCCUGACCGAGCAACGCCGCGUGAGUGAAGAAGGUUUUCGGAUCGUAAAGCUCUGUUGUUAAGGAAGAACGAGUGUGAGAAUGGAAAGUUCAUGCUGUGACGGUACUUAACCAGAAAGGGACGGCUAACUACGUGCCAGCAGCCGCGGUAAUACGUAGGUCCCGAGCGUUGUCCGGAUUUAUUGGGCGUAAAGCGAGCGCAGGCGGUUAGAAAAGUCUGAAGUGAAAGGCAGUGGCUCAACCAUUGUAGGCUUUGGAAACUGGUUAACUUGAGUGCAGAGGGGGAGAGUGGAAUUCCAUGUGUAGCGGUGAAAUGCGUAGAUAUAUGGAGGAACACCGGUGGCGAAAGCGGCUCUCUGGUCUGUAACUGACGCUGAGGAUCGAAGGCGUGGGGAGCGAACAGG
RNAcentral lists this ribosomal RNA (429 nucleotides) under Bacteroidota bacterium. Its description in RNAcentral is "Bacteroidetes bacterium partial 16S ribosomal RNA". It matches the Rfam family "Bacterial small subunit ribosomal RNA", at positions 355 to 776 of the family's 1533-position model. Lineage: Bacteria; Pseudomonadati; Bacteroidota. The record is from RNAcentral.